This 273-nucleotide long non-coding RNA is filed under the name Actinidia chinensis (golden kiwifruit). Its description in RNAcentral is "long non-coding RNA (ACHI_LNC006901)". Lineage: Eukaryota; Viridiplantae; Streptophyta; Magnoliopsida; Ericales; Actinidiaceae. The record is from RNAcentral.
UAGUUUAGAAAUUUGCCUAUAUUCACGGUCGGGCUCAAUCAAUUCACUAAACAAAAUCGUGAAUACAAAUUACAAUAAGAUAAUACAAGAUUACCUCCCUUCACCAUCUAUAACUUACACUAAAAACCUUGCUUAAAUGCAAUUGAACCCACGAUGGAAUAUCAAGUGUCUAUAAUACUAUGUAAUUAUAGAACUCGAACACUAGAAGCACUCUCACACAACUUUGUCUCGCUCACUCACCAAGUGUAUCACUAAUUGAAUUUCUUGUUGACU